RNAcentral lists this ribosomal RNA (661 nucleotides) under Chryseobacterium sp. RNAcentral describes it as "bacterial SSU rRNA". It matches the Rfam family "Bacterial small subunit ribosomal RNA", at positions 91 to 751 of the family's 1533-position model. Lineage: Bacteria; Pseudomonadati; Bacteroidota; Flavobacteriia; Flavobacteriales; Weeksellaceae. The record is from RNAcentral.
GAGAGCGGCGUACGGGUGCGGAACACGUGUGCAACCUGCCUUUAUCAGGGAGAUAGCCUUUCGAAAGGAAGAUUAAUAUCCCAUAAUAUAUUAAGUGGCAUCAUUUAAUAUUGAAAGCUCCGGCGGAUAGAGAUGGGCACGCGCAAGAUUAGAUAGUUGGUGAGGUAACGGCUCACCAAGUCAGUGAUCUUUAGGGGGCCUGAGAGGGUGAUCCCCCACACUGGUACUGAGACACGGACCAGACUCCUACGGGAGGCAGCAGUGAGGAAUAUUGGACAAUGGGUGAGAGCCUGAUCCAGCCAUCCCGCGUGAAGGACGACGGUUCUAUGGAUUGUAAACUUCUUUUAUACUGGGAUAAACCUACCCUCGUGAGGGUAGCUGAAGGUACAGUAUGAAUAAGCACCGGCUAACUCCGUGCCAGCAGCCGCGGUAAUACGGAGGGUGCAAGCGUUAUCCGGAUUUAUUGGGUUUAAAGGGUCCGUAGGCGGAUCUGUAAGUCAGUGGUGAAAUCUCACAGCUUAACUGUGAAACUGCCAUUGAUACUGCAGGUCUUGAGUAAAGUAGAAGUGGCUGGAAUAAGUAGUGUAGCGGUGAAAUGCAUAGAUAUUACUUAGAACACCAAUUGCGAAGGCAGGUCACUAUGUUUUAACUGACGCUGAUG